This 253-nucleotide ribosomal RNA is filed under the name uncultured bacterium. RNAcentral describes it as "partial 16S ribosomal RNA". It matches the Rfam family "Bacterial small subunit ribosomal RNA", at positions 524 to 776 of the family's 1533-position model. The record is from RNAcentral.
UACAGGGGGGGCAAGCGUUGUUCGGAAUUACUGGGCGUAAAGAGUGUGUAGGCGGUGCUCUAAGUUCGGUGUGAAAUCUCCUGGCUCAACUGGGAGGGUGCGCCGGAAACUGGAGUGCUUGAGCGUGGGAGAGGAAAGCGGAAUUCCUGGUGUAGCGGUGAAAUGCGUAGAUAUCAGGAGGAACACCUGUGGUGUAGACGGCUUUCUGGACCAUAGCUGACGCUGAGACACGAAAGCGUGGGUAGCAAACAGG